Molecule: ribosomal RNA, 468 nt
Filed under: uncultured bacterium
Lineage: Bacteria
Description: partial 16S ribosomal RNA
Rfam family: Bacterial small subunit ribosomal RNA
Source: RNAcentral
GACGAACGCUGGCGGCGUGCUUAACACAUGCAAGUCGAACGGAAAGGCCCUGCUUUUGUGGGGUGCUCGAGUGGCGAACGGGUGAGUAACACGUGAGUAACCUGCCCUUGACUUUGGGAUAACUUCAGGAAACUGGGGCUAAUACCGGAUAGGAGCUCCUGCUGCAUGGUGGGGGUUGGAAAGUUUCGGCGGUUGGGGAUGGACUCGCGGCUUAUCAGCUUGUUGGUGGGGUAGUGGCUUACCAAGGCUUUGACGGGUAGCCGGCCUGAGAGGGUGACCGGCCAAAUUGGGAAUGAGAUACGGCCCAGACUCCUACGGGAGGCAGCAGGGGGGAAUAUUGCACCAUGGGCGGAAGCCUGAUGCAGCAACGCCGCGUGCGGGAUGACGGCCUUCGGGUUGUAAACCGCUUUCGCCUGUGACGAAGCGUGAGUGACGGUAAUGGGUAAAGAAGCACCGGCUAACUACGUG